This is a non-coding RNA of Hydrogenophilales bacterium, 185 nucleotides long. The record is from Rfam. Lineage: Bacteria; Pseudomonadati; Pseudomonadota; Hydrogenophilia; Hydrogenophilales.
UGCUCCCUGCGGUGUUCGAGAAGGGCUGCAAUUUCUCUGAACCAAUGCAUACGUGCAAGGCUGCGAUCUAUUCCGGUGCGGGUGUGCGCGUGACACGUUUCAUGUGCCCAAAGCGCCUUUGAUUGCGGCCGUCUUGGACCCCGGUUCAAGAGUCUGCGGCUCAUCACGGCACAGGCGGGGAGCCU